RNAcentral lists this ribosomal RNA (1301 nucleotides) under Phyllodistomum inecoli. RNAcentral describes it as "eukaryotic LSU rRNA". It matches the Rfam family "Eukaryotic large subunit ribosomal RNA", at positions 38 to 936 of the family's 3401-position model. The record is from RNAcentral. Lineage: Eukaryota; Metazoa; Platyhelminthes; Trematoda; Plagiorchiida; Gorgoderidae.
GCAUAUCACUAAGCGGCGGAUGAGAAACUAACAAGGAUUCCCUUAGUAACGGCGAGUGAACAGGGAUUAGCCCAGCACCGAAGCCCUUGGCCAUUUGGUCAUUAGGCAAUGUGGUGUUUAGGUUGGUCCGCAGAGGCACUGCUCCACUCUGAGUCCAGCAAUGAGUAUGGUAGCAUGGACAUGGCCCAUUGAGGGUGAAAGGCCCGUAAGAGUGGAGUUCAGGCAGGCCAGUGCCUCUCUGGAUUGACCAAAGAGUCGGGUUGUUUGUGAAUGCAGCCCAAAGUGGGUGGUAAACUCCAUCCAAGGCUAAAUACAAGCACGAGUCCGAUAGCAAACAAGUACCGUGAGGGAAAGUUGAAAAGUACUUUGAAGAGAGAGUAAACAGUGCGUGAAACCGCUCAGAGGUAAACGGGUGGAGUUGAACUGCAUGCUCCGUGAAUUCAGCUGGUGAGAUUGUUGUGGGCUUGGUCAUGUGGGGUGGACAAUGAGGUAUGCUUAGCUGCAUGUCCCGGCCGGCUGGUUGGGAUGCGCGAUACGCUCAUCAUGCGUUGCGCGCCUCUGCUGUUCAUCUGCCCUCUCUCCAGUGCAUUUUCGCGGAGUGUUCACCAAGACCGGCGUUGCUGUCCGGCUGCUUUAGUUAAACCGGUCUUACGCGUCCUUGUGGCGUUGUUUGGUCGGGACGGCAGGUAGCCCGUUGGCUUGCUUUGCAUGCUUUCGUGUGUAAUCAGCUGACUAAAGCGGGACUGUGCAGUACGUCGGAGCUGGCGGCCAGUUGUGCCUGCUCGUGCGUCAUGCCUUCCGAAGCAUCCUGUUCUGAUCGCCAUGUUGCCUGUCUCGGCAGGUCUGGUGGUGGACAGGGUUCUAUUGGUUGGUGGUUCCUCGGGUAGCACUUUAUAGAGCCAAUAGUCUUUGGUGUCGUGGUAGACUAUCCACCUGACCCGUCUUGAAACACGGACCAAGGAGAGUAACAUGUGCGCGAGUCAUUGGGCGUAACGAAACCCAAAGGCGCAGUGAAAGUAAAGGUCUGACUUGUUCAGUCUGAGGUGAGAUCCUGUUGUUUCUCAUGCCUGGUACCACCAAGCUUGGAGCGACAGGCGCAUCACCGGCCCGUCCCAUGAUGUAGACACGGUCAUUGUACUCGUGCACCGUCGGGGCGGAGCAUGAGCGCACAUGUUGAGACCCGAAAGAUGGUGAACUAUGCUUGCGCAGGUUGAAGCCAGAGGAAACUCUGGUGGAGGACCGCAGCGAUUCUGACGUGCAAAUCGAUCGUCAAACGUGAGUAUAGGGGCGAAAGACUAAUC